UGGGGAAUAUUGCACAAUGGGGGAAACCCUGAUGCAGCGACGCCGCGUGAGCGAAGAAGGUUUUCGAAUCGUAAAGCUCUGUCCUAUGGGAAGAUAAUGACGGUACCAUAGGAGGAAGCCCCGGCUAACUACGUGCCAGCAGCCGCGGUAAUACGUAGGGGGCAAGCGUUGUCCGGAAUCACUGGGCGUAAAGGGUUCGCAGGCGGAAAUGCAAGUCAGUUGCGAAAGGCAGAGGCUCAACCUCUGUAAGCAAUUGAAACUGUAUUUCUUGAGAUGUGGAGAGGCAAGUGGAAUUCCUAGUGUAGCGGUGAAAUGCGUAGAUAUUAGGAAGAAUACCGGUGGCGAAGGCGACUUGCUGGACACAAACUGACGCUGAGGAACGAAAGCGUGGGUAGCAAACAGG
RNAcentral lists this ribosomal RNA (403 nucleotides) under Fusobacteriota bacterium. RNAcentral describes it as "Fusobacteria bacterium partial 16S ribosomal RNA". It matches the Rfam family "Bacterial small subunit ribosomal RNA", at positions 355 to 776 of the family's 1533-position model. The record is from RNAcentral. Lineage: Bacteria; Fusobacteriati; Fusobacteriota.